UACGUAGGGUGCUAGCGUUGUUCGGAAUUAUUGGGCGUAAAGGGUGCGUAGGCGGUUUGGUAAGUCUGAUGUGAAAUCUAUGGGCUCAACUCAUAGUCUGCAUCGGAAACUGCCGGGCUUGAGUGUGGGAGAGGUGAGUGGAAUUCCUGGUGUAGCGGUGAAAUGCGUAGAUAUCAGGAGGAACACCUGUGGCGAAAGCGGCUCACUGGACCAUAACUGACGCUGAUGCACGAAAGCUAGGGGAGCAAACAGG
Molecule: ribosomal RNA, 253 nt
Filed under: uncultured bacterium
Lineage: Bacteria
Description: partial 16S ribosomal RNA
Rfam family: Bacterial small subunit ribosomal RNA
Source: RNAcentral